AACGCACAUUGCGCCCCCUGGUAUUCCGGGGGGCAUGCCUGUUCGAGCGUCAUUACAACCCUCAAGCUCUGCUUGGUAUUGGGCGCCACCCCCGGGUGCGCCUCAAAGUCAGUGGCGGUGCCGUCUGGCUUCAAGCGUAGUAAUACUUCUCGCUUUGGAGUCCGGGCGAGCGUCCUGCCAAAACCCCCAUAUUUUUUUCAGGUUGACCUCGGAUCAGGUAGGGAUACCCGCUGAACUUAA
RNAcentral lists this unclassified non-coding RNA (240 nucleotides) under uncultured Bulgaria. RNAcentral describes it as "sequence contains ITS2". The stretch from base 1 to 52 matches the Rfam family "5.8S ribosomal RNA", at positions 103 to 154 of the family's 154-position model. The record is from RNAcentral. Lineage: Eukaryota; Fungi; Ascomycota; Leotiomycetes; Phacidiales; Phacidiaceae.